Molecule: transfer RNA, 97 nt
Rfam family: tRNA
About the family: Transfer RNA (tRNA) molecules are approximately 80 nucleotides in length. Their secondary structure includes four short double-helical elements and three loops (D, anti-codon, and T loops). Further hydrogen bonds mediate the characteristic L-shaped molecular structure. tRNAs have two regions of fundamental functional importance: the anti-codon, which is responsible for specific mRNA codon recognition, and the 3' end, to which the tRNAs corresponding amino acid is attached (by aminoacyl-tRNA synthetases). tRNAs cope with the degeneracy of the genetic code in two manners: having more than one tRNA (with a specific anti-codon) for a particular amino acid; and 'wobble' base-pairing, i.e. permitting non-standard base-pairing at the 3rd anti-codon position.
Source: Rfam
GGGCAAUUGGUUUAGUGGUAUAAUACCCCCUUAGCAAACCGUUUCCGGCGCUGUAAACAAUUGGGGGUGGUCGGGAGUUCGAUUCUCCCAUUGUCCA